RNAcentral lists this long non-coding RNA (417 nucleotides) under Vigna radiata. RNAcentral's name for it is "long non-coding RNA (VRAD_LNC006560)". Lineage: Eukaryota; Viridiplantae; Streptophyta; Magnoliopsida; Fabales; Fabaceae. The record is from RNAcentral.
GCUAGGAGUGUAUUGCUAUGCUCACUUCUGCCAGGGAUGAAAAACCUAGAGCCCUAGGGUCCUUUAAAUAGUGCCAGACGCUUCCCAAAGUGCGGCCCAGUCCAAAAGAAUCAAAUCAGAGAAGAAUCAGGGCUUGAUCCACGUGAAAUCACGCUCAAGCAUCGCAGGGAGCUAGCCCAAGCGUGAAUUGAGGGUUCUAUAAGGCUUGGGCGUCAGUUUUGGAUGCCUGAGCUACUGGCGUCCGUCGCCCGGUCGUCGGGUCCGUUGCUCGGGCGACCAGAGGUGAAUUCAGCUUCGCUGUUUUUCAUUCCUGUCGCCUGGGCUUCGGGUUUCCUCCCUUCUUGGUACCUUUUUUCCCCUUUUGAGCUCCUCUUUCAUGGUUUUUCACUUCUUCUUCCAAUAUUACUUCAAUCUCUG